ANCUGAAGAGUUUGAUCCUGGCUCAGAUUGAACGCUGGCGGCAUGCUUUACACAUGCAAGUCGAACGGCAGCAUCGGGGAGCUUUCUCCCUUGGUGGCGAGUGGCGAACGGGUGAGUAAUAUAUCGGAACGUGUCCAAUAAUGGGGGAUAACUAGUCGAAAGAUUAGCUAAUACCGCAUACUGYYUGAGGGGGAAAGUGGGGGAUCUUCGGACCUCACGUUAAUGGAGCGGCCGAUAUCUGAUUAGCUAGUUGGUGGGUAAAAGCCUNACYAAGGCGACGAUCAGUAGCUGGUCUGAGAGGAUGAUCAGCCACACUGGGACUGAGACACGGCCBDGNCUCCUACGGGAGGCAGCAGUGGGGAAUUUUGGACAAUGGGCGCAAGCCUGAUCCAGCCAUGCCGCGUGAGUGAAGAAGGCCUUCGGGUUGUAAAGCUCUUUCGCAAGGANAGAAAACUUAUCCACUAAUACUGGAUGAGGAUGACGGUACCUUGAUAAGAAGCACCGGCUAACUCCGUGCCAGCAMCCGCGGUDAUACGUAGGGUGCAAGCGUUAAUCGGAAUUACUGGGCGUAAAGCGCGCGKAGGCGGUUUUGUAAGUCAGAUGUGAAAGCCCCGGGCUCAACCUGGGGACUGCGUUUGAAAUACAAGGNUUAGAGUAUGGGAGAGGGAGGUAGAAUUCCACGUGUAGCAGUGAAAUGCGUAGAGAUGUGGAGGAAUACCAAUGGCGAAGGCAGCCUCCUGGCCUAAUACUGACGCUCAUGCKCGNAAGCGUGGGGAGCAAACAGGAUUAGAUACCCUGGUAGUCCACGCCCUAAACGAUGUCAACUAGUUGUUGGUGGAGUAAAAUCCAUUAGUAAYKYNSUAACUGUGAAGUUGACCGCCUGGGGAGUACGGUCGCAAGAUUAAAACUCAAAGGAAUUGWCGGGGGCCCGCACAAGCGGUGGAUUAUGUGGAUUAAUUCGAUGCAACGCGAAAAACCUUACCUGGCCUUGACAUGCCACUAACGAAGCAGAGAUGCAUUAGGUGCGAAAGGGNAAGUGGACACAGGUGUCGCAUGGCUGUCGUCAGCUCGUGUGUGAGAUGUUUGGGUUAAGUCCCNNNNCGAGCGCAACCCUUGCCAAUAAUUGCCAUCAUUCAGUUGGGCACUUUAUUGGGACUGCCGGUGACWAACCGGAGGAAGGUGGGGAUGACGUNAAGUCCUCAUGGCCCUUAUGGCCAGGGCUUCACACGUAAUACAAUGGUCGGUACAGAGGGUUGCWAACCCGCGAGGGGGAGCUAAUCUCAGAAAGCCGAUCGUAGUCCGGAUUGCAGUCUGCAACUCGACUGCAUGAAGUCGGAAUCGCUAGUAAUCGCGGAUCAGCAUGUCGCGGUGAAUACGUUCCCGGGCCUUGUACACACCGCCCGUCACACCAUGGGAGUGGGUUUCACCAGAAGUAGGUAGCCKAACSGSRAGGAGGGCGCUUAC
Molecule: ribosomal RNA, 1464 nt
Filed under: Methylobacillus flagellatus
Lineage: Bacteria; Pseudomonadati; Pseudomonadota; Betaproteobacteria; Nitrosomonadales; Methylophilaceae
Description: 16S rRNA
Rfam family: Bacterial small subunit ribosomal RNA
Source: RNAcentral